This is a non-coding RNA of Vicugna pacos (alpaca), 2813 nucleotides long. The record is from RefSeq and is a predicted model, not a curated record. Lineage: Eukaryota; Metazoa; Chordata; Mammalia; Artiodactyla; Camelidae.
GUUCACUUAUAAAAUGGAGCCAUUUAAAGGUGAGGACUAGGAGGAGGGUAUAGCUCAGUGGUAGAGUGUGUGCUUAAGCAAGCACAAGGUCCUGGGUUCAAUCCUCAGUGCCUCCCUUAAAAUAAAUAAAUAAUCCUAAUUACCUCCCCGAUCAAAAAAAGGUGAAGACUAGAAGAUGAUUGCACGCAUACAUCCCUGAUGGAUGCUCUGAUGAAGAAAAAAUAAUAGCAGUAGGAGGAGUUGUUGUUUAAAUAAAGAGAGCUGAUAACUCUAUAUAAAUAACAUAUUGUUAAGAGAUGAGAACUGGCAUUGGUGGAGGAGGCGUUGGGCACUGGGCGUGAGCCUCCACCUCAGCCCCGCCUUUCCCCUCUGAACACACCCCAGCCACACCAGGCCCCCUGCUCACCCUGAGCCACUGGGAGUCAAAAGCCCCUUCAGUCUCUCACAGGAAUUCACUGUUGCUGUUCCCCCUCUCACUGUCAGAGGGACCCAAUGGGCCUCGGCCUCACUCCAUCCCCACCCCCACCCCAAAUCCAGGUAUUGAGUCAAAGGGCAAAGAGCUCAUUGCCCCUCCCUUACUGACAAGGACACUGAGACUGGGCCCUUCAGGAAGUGAGUCCUGGGAUCUGGGAAUUACUCCCCAGGUCCUGAAGCAGAUUAAGCCACAGCGGAACAUUCUUUCUAACCUGAAGCCCCAGCUUCUUCACUACCUGAUACAGGGGUCUCCAGGUGAGAGCCCCCUCCUCACCUCCGCUCUCGGCUGCCCAUCUCUCCCCAACUCACCCAGGCCAGUCCCCACCCCAUCUCGUCCAUUCCAACAUCUGCAGCGCCCGCCCACACCACCACCCCGAGUCUCCACACAGGCCACACGUGUCUUCAGGGAGCCAUUCCCCAACUCAAGAUCCUUCCAAACGCCAUCACCACAGGAUCAAACCCUGGGUCAUCACAGGAUGAGACCAUCACCCAUAGGAUCAAACCUUUCUUUGAGGAAUCACCUGCAGCAGGGCCAUGGGGCAUGUGAGUCACAAAAUUUCUCCCCGUGGGACAGUUUCUAUCCCUUCAGCCAACCUAUCUGCCCCCAGCAGAGGCUGGGCUUUGGACACGGCAUCUAAGUCUCAGCUGUCUCCAUGGCAACAAAGCUCGAGGAACAAACUGAGGGGUGCAUCACUCCUUCCUCAUCACUGUCACCAAGGCCUUCGCUGGGCCAGGCCCUGGGCUGGCUGCUAGGACCAUCGAGGAAAAUGGGCCUGUCCCAGCCCCGGAGAGGCUCCCAGUCCAGGGGACUGACCCAUCACUGGCCUGCAAGAGACAGGGGACAUGCCAAGGGCGGAACAGUGCCUGGAUCUGCUGGAUCAAGGAAUGACCAAGCAGAGCAAGGAAGGGACGAGUUCCCCGGGGAGAGCGGUUUUGAGCUGAGUGAUUUCCAGCGUGUCCCAGUGUGGAGAGGUGCUCCUGAGUGUCACAGGUGCCACCAGGCUGCAGUCCUCACCCCACAAUGUCAUUAAUUAUCAAUACAAUAACAGCCACCAACUGCUGAAUGCCCGUCAUGUACAUGCUUACCUGACUGGAUCAUGAAAACUCUCCCAGAGGUCUGGUUUCCGGUGCUGGGGCUGUGACGAUCAACCAGGUGGCAGAGCAGUGACGGAACAGGCAAGACUGCUGGUGGCACAGUCAGGCGGGGCGGCCAGUGCAGCAGAGCAUCACGGAGGGCGUCGGAGGAAGAGCUGGUACGUGCAGGCUGCCUCCCAAAGGUGGGACGUGGGGGUCGGCUCUGGGAGAUGGGCAGGAGCCCAUUUGUAGGGUGGGGACACCCUGACCUACCUCUCGGGGCUGUCAGAGACCGAAGACGCUCUCGCGCCUGAGCGGUGUCCCCAGCCCAGCCAGCGCGGGCACUGCGGGGAGAAGGGACUGCAUGGACAUUGGCUGGGAGACAGGACACUGAUGCAGGGCACUCAGCAGCGAACUCCCCAAACGACUGCAAAACCAACAGUGAAAAGAAAGACGGAGGGGAGGCACCACCAGCCACUUCCCGAGCCCCUACCAUGCUUGCAGGGCCCCGAGCUAUGGUGGCUUGAUCUCAAGAUUAGCCCCCUCCCAAGGCAGACACUUGCUUCUGUGGCUUCUAUCCCCACUGGACAUGUUACAGGCAUCACCUUCCUUUCUGUGGUUUACGAAGUCCAGUUGGUACCAAGCAUGGGGUCACCCAGGUGGUGACGUGGGUGCUGACAAGUCUGAUGUGACUCAUCACCGACAGAGCAGAAUUCACGGCAACGAAGAGCUCAGACUGCACAGUUGGGCCAACCUGGGUGUGACCUGGGCCGGAUCUGCCCUGCCCUGGGCCUCAGUUUCCCAUUGGUCACUUGGGGUUAAUAAAAGUCCCAUCCUGGACUAGCUGCUGUGAUGAUUAAAUGGAAUGAUGCCAGUGAAGGGUGCAGCGCACAGCCAGUGCUCGAAGCACCUCAGCCGUCGCUACUGCUACGAAGCCCCGAAGACCUCAGAUGAGAAACCCGAGCCUCACGUGGCUUCCUGGGAUCGUGCAAAUCUGCCCCCUCCUUCCUAGCAUCUGCCGCGACUCUGCUCCGAGAUUGCUCUCUCCCCCCAUUGUCAUGUCACAUCGGUCCAUAAAUAUUUAAACAACAUGUCAUCAGAUUAUUAUAACAUAUGAUCUAUAGCACUGAUGUGCUGCAGUUCUGCGCAUUUGGGCUGCGUUUUCAGAAUAUCGAGACAUAAAAUAUUUAUGUAUUUAGCCAACCACGAGAUCUCACAUUCUGUCUCAAAAUGCUGGGUGGUGGCAAGACGCUGAACUGAGACAC